Molecule: ribosomal RNA, 454 nt
Filed under: uncultured bacterium
Lineage: Bacteria
Description: bacterial SSU rRNA
Rfam family: Bacterial small subunit ribosomal RNA
Source: RNAcentral
GAUGAACGCUAGCUACAGGCUUAACACAUGCAAGUCGAGGGGUCUCGCGGGAGCUUGCUCCCAAGAGACGACCGGCGCACGGGUGAGUAACGCGUAUCCAACCUGCCCUUCAUAUUGGGAUAGCCUUCCGAAAGGAAGAUUAAUACCGAAUAACAUAGAGUGGUUGCCUGAUUUCUCUAUGAAAGCUCCGGCGAUGAAGGAUGGGGAUGCGUUCCAUUAGGUAGUAGGCGGGGUAACGGCCACCUAGCCAACGAUGGAUAGGGGUUCUGAGAGGAAGGUCCCCCACACUGGAACUGAGACACGGUCCAGACUCCUACGGGAGGCAGCAGUGAGGAAUAUUGGUCAAUGGGCGCAAGCCUGAACCAGCCAAGUAGCGUGAAGGAUGACUGCCCUAUGGGUUGUAAACUGCUUUUGCGGGAGAAUAACCGGCGCCACGCGUGGCGCCCUGCAUGUA